AGAGUUUGAUCCUGGCUCAGGACGAACGCUGGCGGCGUGCCUAAUACAUGCAAGUAGAACGCUGAAGAAAGGAGCUUGCUUUUUUUGGAUGAGUUGCGAACGGGUGAGUAACGCGUAGGUAACCUGCCUUGUAGCGGGGGAUAACUAUUGGAAACGAUAGCUAAUACCGCAUAACAGCUUUUGACACAUGUUAGAAGCUUGAAAGAUGCAAUUGCAUCACUACGAGAUGGACCUGCGUUGUAUUAGCUAGUAGGUAGGGUAACGGCCUACCUAGGCGACGAUACAUAGCCGACCUGAGAGGGUGAUCGGCCACACUGGGACUGAGACACGGCCCAGACUCCUACGGGAGGCAGCAGUAGGGAAUCUUCGGCAAUGGGGGCAACCCUGACCGAGCAACGCCGCGUGAGUGAAGAAGGUUUUCGGAUCGUAAAGCUCUGUUGUAAGGGAAGAACGUGUAUGAGAGUGGAAAGUUCACACAGUGACGGUAACUUACCAGAAAGGGACGGCUAACUACGUGCCAGCAGCCGCGGUAAUACGUAGGUCCCGAGCGUUGUCCGGAUUUAUUGGGCGUAAAGCGAGCGCAGGCGGUUUAAUAAGUCUGAAGUUAAAGGCAGUGGCUUAACCAUUGUUCGCUUUGGAAACUGUUAAACUUGAGUGUAGAAGGGGAGAGUGGAAUUCCAUGUGUAGCGGUGAAAUGCGUAGAUAUAUGGAGGAACACCGGUGGCGAAAGCGGCUCUCUGGUCUGUAACUGACGCUGAGGCUCGAAAGCGUGGGGAGCAAACAGGAUUAGAUACCCUGGUAGUCCACGCCGUAAACGAUGAGUGCUAGGUGUUAGGCCCUUUCCGGGGCUUAGUGCCGCAGCUAACGCAUUAAGCACUCCGCCUGGGGAGUACGACCGCAAGGUUGAAACUCAAAGGAAUUGACGG
This 926-nucleotide ribosomal RNA is filed under the name uncultured bacterium. RNAcentral's name for it is "bacterial SSU rRNA". It matches the Rfam family "Bacterial small subunit ribosomal RNA", at positions 8 to 916 of the family's 1533-position model. The record is from RNAcentral.